RNAcentral lists this transfer-messenger RNA (406 nucleotides) under Mycoplasmataceae bacterium. It matches the Rfam family "transfer-messenger RNA". From Rfam's summary of the family: Bacterial tmRNA, also known as 10Sa RNA or SsrA, is named for its dual tRNA and mRNA-like properties. Its role is to liberate the mRNA from a stalled ribosome. Lineage: Bacteria; Bacillati; Mycoplasmatota; Mollicutes; Mycoplasmatales; Mycoplasmataceae. The record is from RNAcentral.
GGGGAUGCCACGGAUUCGACAUGAUCUAUGGACUCUCAAAUGCAGUAGGGAAAGCCCUUUAUAGCUCUAGGUUAACUACACGCUAACACAAACAAACCCGCUAACGCUAACAUGGAAGAAGCUUUCCUUGUUAACCAACUAGCUGCACAAGCUCGUCUUUUCGCUUAAGUAGCCACUAGGCACUCGUGCUCAAUGUAUUAAUAAUUUCCAGAUUAUACUAAUACGCAAUUAAAUCUGGUAUAUCAUUGGAUGCUAAUAAUAAUGAUGAAUUCCAUUAGCUUAGUUGAUUGCAGGUUGUUCUUACACCAUAACGCGCAAUCGACGAAUCGCUCAAGUAAGAACUAAACUGUAGACUUUGUUAGAAAGUAAAUUGUGGAAAUGGGUUCAAUUCCCAUCAUCUCCACCA